Molecule: non-coding RNA, 1301 nt
Organism: Prunus mume (Japanese apricot)
Lineage: Eukaryota; Viridiplantae; Streptophyta; Magnoliopsida; Rosales; Rosaceae
Source: RefSeq, a predicted model, not a curated record
GGCCAGCAGCAAUAGCAACCUGCGGAGAAAGGAGGGUGGUGUGCAGGUUCACACUUCUGUGAUAUGCAAUUGAAAUGACUUUACAAUUUUUAAUCUCAUACAUAUUGUGUGACUGUGUGCUUUCUGUAUGAUAUGUCUCUUAAACCCUUCCCCUGUUGCCCUAGUUCUGUACGCUUUGCUUCAACCAGUCUCUUCAAACGACUCCCUUCAUCAUUCUGGACUUCGUCCUUCGCAGAAAGCUAUUGAUAUUGCAACUUGGAUAAGCAAUGACAAAGUGAGGCAAAGGAAAGAAAUAUUGAGGAUAGGGAGAAAAUCUAGAGUUAGGAGAACAAUUACUUUUUACAACACUAAUCUUCAACUAGGUAAUAAAAUGUGUAAAUACCAUAGUGUAGUAGGAGGCUUGAAUAAUUAGACCCCAAAUUGUUAAAACUUAAACUGAUUAAGUACUUAGUUUCCAAAAAUUCCGGAACUAAAUAAAAUAACUUCUCGUUAAUUACUUAUCUUGUGCUUCUGUCUAAAAUAAGCACAAAUGUUCUCACAUCUAACCGUCAUCACAAAGCCAGCUCCUCUAUAAGAAUUUUUGUUUGGGGCCGUAGGGGAUGAUUUCGGCUGACUAUAACAUCUCUCUUUCUAUCUUUCUUGUUCAAUCAAGUCGACAAUGGUUUUUAUUUUUUGUUCUUAUUUAGUUUCAUGGAAGCCAAUCCCCAGUUGAUACUUUGCAUCUGUGUGAAAUUUGUUUGCUUGUUUUGCAUGCAUUCAUGAUUUACAGUCAGAAGUUCUGUGACCACCACGAAUCAAGAGUAGUGAACGAUCGAAUAUCAUGGUUCUGUCUUGGGUUUCGUUUUCUUCUACCCUUUUAGCUUUAUUUUUUUGUUUCAAUUAGUAAAAGUCACGAUCUUACAUUCUUUACAAGUUUUGCAGGUUCAGGUAUCCCUGCUUCUAAGGUCCGAUCCUAUUUAUUUUCAUUGCAGCUUACAAUGGAAUUUGUGUACAGGUUGCUGGUGCAGUGUAUCAGGAUUCAGGAGAAUGGGGUUGUACGAUAUUUCAGGUUUCAAUUCAGAAGUGUGAAAGUAUAUUCCUAUUCCAUCACUCGAACGACUGAUGUAGGUUAUUACUGUUGGUAGGUCAUUGCUGUUGGUCGAUUGUUGUAGUCAUCAUGAUGCAGGUUUAGUGUGGCAUCCAAUAUCUUUUUUGUUGUUGGACCAGUUGUAUUGUCAUAUUUGGAAUUGCACAAGCAUUAAAAUCUUGACUGGCUAUGAUGUUAUUCCUUCUGUUUAAGGUAUUGACAAUGCUUAAAAUCA